AAGGGUUCGAGCAGUGGGGGAGGCGACCUAAUUCCCAGAGGAAGGAAUUGGGCCAAAUCCACUUGGGAAGAACGGGUUCAAGUCCCGCGAACCAAGGGGACAAAUCCUGCCCGGAACCCGUGAGGGUGAAGGGAUGUUAAGAGCUGCUCACAGUGGCUGGGCCCAGAGGAAGGUCACGGGCUGUGAGCGGUAACAGGGCCGGU
RNAcentral lists this long non-coding RNA (203 nucleotides) under Manihot esculenta (cassava). Its description in RNAcentral is "long non-coding RNA (MESC_LNC003213)". Lineage: Eukaryota; Viridiplantae; Streptophyta; Magnoliopsida; Malpighiales; Euphorbiaceae. The record is from RNAcentral.